AGCGAACGCUGGCGGCAGGCUUAACACAUGCAGGUCGAGCGGGCCCUUCGGGGUCAGCGGCGGACGGGUGAGUAACGCGUGGGAACGUGCCCUCUGGUCUGGAAUAACCCUGGGAAACUAGGGCUAAUACCGGAUACGCCCUUUUGGGGAAAGGCUUGCUGCCGGAGGAUCGGCCCGCGUCUGAUUAGCUAGUUGGUGGGGUAACGGCCUACCAAGGCGACGAUCAGUAGCUGGUCUGAGAGGAUGAUCAGCCACACUGGGACUGAGACACGGCCCAGGCUCCUACGGGAGGCAGCAGUGGGGAAUAUUGGACAAUGGGCGCAAGCCUGAUCCAGCCAUGCCGCGUGAGUGAUGAAGGCCUUAGGGUUGUAAAGCUCUUUUAUCCGGGACGAUAAUGACGGUACCGGAGGAAUAAGCCCCGGCUAACUUCGUGCCAGCCGCCGCAGUAA
RNAcentral lists this ribosomal RNA (449 nucleotides) under uncultured bacterium. Its description in RNAcentral is "partial 16S ribosomal RNA". It matches the Rfam family "Bacterial small subunit ribosomal RNA", at positions 28 to 523 of the family's 1533-position model. The record is from RNAcentral.